GAAAAGAGAGAGUAUUUGAACCCCCACCCUGCUUCUGUGUUUGGGAAUGGCUUCUUCCGAUGCUUUACUCAUUGCUUGGUUUUCUGCCUUGUGAAGGCCAAUAAUGGUGCUCAGAAGGCCCUCAUGAAGUAAAAAGGAUAUCUUCCAACUCCAGCUUCUCAGAAGUCACCCUGGCGGGUUUAGCCAGUAAAGAAAACUUCAGCAACGUCAGCCUGCGGAGCGUCAACCUGACGGAACAGAACUCUAACAACAGCGCCGUGCCCUUCAAGAGGCUGAUGCUGUUGCAGAUUAAAGGAAGAAGACACGUGCAGACCAGGCUGGUGGAACCUCGAGCUUCGGCGCUCAAUAGUGGGGACUGCUUCCUCCUGCUCUCUCCCCACUGCUGCUUCCUGUGGGUAGGAGAGUUCGCAAACGCCAUAGAAAAGGCGAAGCUGCUGGAGACCCAAAAGAAGAUGAACUCUAUGAAGCAGCCAUAAUAGAAACUAACUGCAUUUACUGUCUCAUGGAUGACAAACUUGUUCCUGA
RNAcentral lists this long non-coding RNA (525 nucleotides) under Homo sapiens (human). RNAcentral describes it as "novel transcript". Lineage: Eukaryota; Metazoa; Chordata; Mammalia; Primates; Hominidae. The record is from RNAcentral.